GAAGCGAGAACCUGAAAUCAUACAGCUGAACCAAACUCUUCCAGGCCAUUUCAAACGUAUAGGACCAAGGAACGAAGAACCAUCUUGGUUGGUAUAAUGUGAAUAUGCUCGUCAAAAAAUCCCGUUUCACGUCAAUUCACUUCAAAUUCGAUUGCCAAUGAAGAUCAAGCAUUCCGCUUGACUGAACUCAUAAAAAGUAAUCAGGGGCUGCCUUUUUCGCAGGUGCUCCUCUUGAUUCCUGCAUGUCACAUUUGUGUAUUAGUGCCUCCAUGGAUUCAGGUACACGGGUCUAACUCGUCAACUGAAACUAAUACUUUCCCUCCUUGUUUACAAACCUGAGGGGCAGCAUCAAACACACGAAAUUGUUUGUUGAGGUUCUCAUCCAGCUCAAG
Molecule: long non-coding RNA, 392 nt
Filed under: Linum usitatissimum (flax)
Lineage: Eukaryota; Viridiplantae; Streptophyta; Magnoliopsida; Malpighiales; Linaceae
Description: long non-coding RNA (LUSI_LNC001696)
Source: RNAcentral